CACUGUGGCUUGUUGGCAAGGAGUG
RNAcentral lists this non-coding RNA (25 nucleotides) under Cricetulus griseus (Chinese hamster). The record is from RNAcentral. Lineage: Eukaryota; Metazoa; Chordata; Mammalia; Rodentia; Cricetidae.